This 468-nucleotide ribosomal RNA is filed under the name uncultured bacterium. RNAcentral's name for it is "partial 16S ribosomal RNA". It matches the Rfam family "Bacterial small subunit ribosomal RNA", at positions 28 to 507 of the family's 1533-position model. The record is from RNAcentral.
GACGAACGCUGGCGGCGUGCUUAACACAUGCAAGUCGAACGGAAAGGCCCUGCUUUUGUGGGGUGCUCGAGUGGCGAACGGGUGAGUAACACGUGAGUAACCUGCCCUUGACUUUGGGAUAACUUCAGGAAACUGGGGCUAAUACCGGAUAGGAGCUCCUGCUGCAUGGUGGGGGUUGGAAAGUUUCGGCGGUUGGGGAUGGACUCGCGGCUUAUCAGCUUGUUGGUGGGGUAGUGGCUUACCAAGGCUUUGACGGGUAGCCGGCCUGAGAGGGUGACCGGCCACAUUGGGACUGAGAUACGGCGCAGACGCCUACGGGAGGCAGCAGUGGGGAAUAUUGCACAAUGGGCGGGAGCCUGAUGCAGCAACGCCGCGUGCGGGAUGACGGCCUUCGGGUUGUAAACCGCUUUCGCCUGUGACGAAGCGUGAGUGACGGUAAUGGGUAAAGAAGCACCGGCUAACUACGUG